UGGGGAAUCUUGCACAAUGGGGGAAACCCUGAUGCAGCGACGCCGCGUGAGCGAUGAAGCCUUUCGGGGUGUAAAGCUCUUACGCCAGGGACGAUGAUGACGGUACCUGGAGAAGCAGCUGCGGCUAACUACGUGCCAGCAGCCGCGGUAAUACGUAGGCAGCAAGCGUUGUUCGGAAUUACUGGGCGGAAAGGGGGCGUAGGCGGGGGUCUAAGUUUGGUGGGAAAUCGCGCGGCUUAACUGGGGGGG
This 249-nucleotide ribosomal RNA is filed under the name uncultured Solibacteraceae bacterium. RNAcentral's name for it is "partial 16S ribosomal RNA". It matches the Rfam family "Bacterial small subunit ribosomal RNA", at positions 355 to 621 of the family's 1533-position model. Lineage: Bacteria; Pseudomonadati; Acidobacteriota; Terriglobia; Bryobacterales; Solibacteraceae. The record is from RNAcentral.